Molecule: ribosomal RNA, 490 nt
Filed under: uncultured bacterium
Lineage: Bacteria
Description: partial 16S ribosomal RNA
Rfam family: Bacterial small subunit ribosomal RNA
Source: RNAcentral
AAUGAACGUUGGCGGCAUUGAUUAGGCAUGCAAGUCGAGCGAGAAGGGUUUUGAAGCUUGCUUUAGAACCCGGAAAGCGGCGCAAGGGAGAGUAACGAGUAGUUAUCUACCCCAAGGCCCGGAAUAGCUGCGGGAAACUGCAGGUAAUGCCGGAUAAUAUCCCCGGAUCAAAGGUGUGAUUCCGCCUUGGGAGGAGACUGCUUUGUACUAGCUAGUUGGUAGGGUAAUGGCCUACCAAGGCUACGAUGCUUAGCGGGCGUGAGAGCGUGGCCCGUCUCACUGGGACUGAAACACUGCCCAGACACCUACGGGUGGCUGCAGUCGAGAAUCUUCGGCAAUGGGCGAAAGCCUGACCGAGCGAUGCCGCGUGCGGGAUGAAGGCCCUCGGGUUGUAAACCGCUGUCGUAGAGGAGAAAGGUCUGAUGAAGAAUCAGAUUUGAUCCAUUCUAGGAGGAAGUCGGUGCUAAGUUCGUGCCAGCAGCCGCCGUAA